GCCACCGUAGCUCAGUUGGUAGAGCAACGCAUUCGUAAUGCGUGGGUCGGGGGUUCAAAUCCCUCCGGUGGCUCAA
Molecule: transfer RNA, 76 nt
Filed under: Fidelibacterota bacterium
Lineage: Bacteria; Pseudomonadati; Fidelibacterota
Description: tRNA-Thr
Rfam family: tRNA
About the family: Transfer RNA (tRNA) molecules are approximately 80 nucleotides in length.
Source: RNAcentral